Molecule: long non-coding RNA, 1760 nt
Organism: Raphanus sativus (radish)
Lineage: Eukaryota; Viridiplantae; Streptophyta; Magnoliopsida; Brassicales; Brassicaceae
Exons: 3
Source: RefSeq, a predicted model, not a curated record
UUUGAGUCUGUAUCUGGCCCAAAUAGAACGGCAUAAUCGAUAAAACAAAGUUCGUCUCUCCUCUUCUCUCUGCGUGUGACGGCGAUUUGGUGACCUUUGCGCUUCAUCUCGCUAGCUGAAACGGUUCGAGUGAUGGUAUUCAAUCAAUGCAUCCACUUUCUCAUCAUCAAUGAAGAUAUCUUGCCUCCCCCCAUUAACCGCAGCUACUGUAUAUUAUAUGGUGUCAAGGUUCUCAAGAGAAAUUACAUAUUUUUUUCGAACAGAGGAGUCGGAGAGCAUCACCGGCGUCGUCUUCUUCCACAUACGGUGGUAAAAUCAAGAUCUUUGAUUGUCGCUAAAAUCCCAGUCUACCUUCGUCCAAGAUUCUACCGGGGCUCAUUGACUCAAAACUUUGAAGCACCUGCUGAAGGAAGGUGCCAUCUGUGAGCUACGCGUAUUCAACUUCACACGAAGUAACGACCACUUCAAAUCCACUGACUCACCAGUUUCCCUUUGCUUCAACAACCAGACCAAAUUUGUGGAGCUUAUGAAGACUACUGUCUUUAUUCUACAGAAAAGUUCAGGUUUCAUAAAUAUAAGCAGCUCAUACAAACGUGGAUUUUCCGAGUAUUUGUUUCUGAUCUUGGUUUUUCACGUCAAUGACAUUUUUUGGGUUUAAUAAUUGUGCAUCCGUAUUCAACCUUUGUUACCAAAAUUUUCUGCAGAAAUUUUUCGAGUUGUUUGUGGCAUCAGGAACACCUACAACGAAGAAUUUCAGGUCAUCAAACGUAUUAUUCAAUAACCCGACACUACUUCAUUGUGACGAAGGACAGCUUCCAGCUAAUUAAAUUCUUAAUUCUUGGAAAAUUUUAAAGAUCUUUUCUUCUUGACUACUAGACUUGUAUAUCUGUUGUUUCAUCCUUAAGACGUUUGGAGAACACAUAGCUAGCAAGACAAAAACUGAACCAAGAUUUAGACACUAUACACACCUAUGUUUAUGCUUUGUAUCCAUCCAUUCUCUGCUCUACAAACCUGGACUUACAAAUAUAGCUUGAAUUGCCAUUUGUCAGAUUCACUAAGAUCCACAAACACUUUUUCAUUACCAAAGUUAGUUUUCUCAAACUUAAGAUUGUCAAUACACCCCAACUUUACCGACAAUUCUGAAUGGUAAAUAAUCAACAACAUCAAGUGUAUACAUUUGAACAUUAAUACUUUCUUAUUCUUGCAUAAAGCUUCUCUGAAAGCCAUCACAAGAGGCUCAAAAACAGCUCUCUGUUAUAUCAGUGAGAACGGUAGAAAAAUCUGCAGAGACUACCUGUAUGAAAGCUGAUGCAGAGAAAAGAAAUUUGAAGCAAUGGAAGUUCAGAAAGUGGAAGAGGUAUUCGUUUCAGAAUUUUCUUAUUUGUAGCUUGGAUUUUGAAACUGAGAUUAUGCUUAAUGACUUCUGUGGGAAAUCACGUAGUGAACAAAAAAAAAUCUUUUUCCACACGGCAGGACCGGCCCUGAGCAAUGCGUCAUGAAACAUUUGCAACAGGCCCCCGAAAUUUUUGAAGAAAAUUACAUAGACAUAAGCCCCCAAAAUUUUUUUUAAGCCUCCAAAUUGUUUUUUUACAUAGAUAGUGCAACAGGUCCCCAAAAUCUGAGGGCCGGCCCUGCACACGGUCAGCUAGAGAAAAGUUGUUGAUUGAGGUAUUUAAAGUUUAAGCAGCAAAAUUAUAGAGGUAUGGAACAGAUAUGAGAACACUACAAACGGAAAAAAAAAAUCAACAACCAUUUGGUAA